AUCUACAGGCUUAACACAUGCAAGUCGAGGGGCAGCAUGGUCUUAGCUUGCUAAGGCCGAUGGCGACCGGCGCACGGGUGAGUAACACGUAUCCAACCUGCCGUCUACUCUUGGACAGCCUUCUGAAAGGAAGAUUAAUACAAGAUGGCAUCAUGAGUCCGCAUGUUCACAUGAUUAAAGGUAUUCCGGUAGACGAUGGGGAUGCGUUCCAUUAGAUAGUAGGCGGGGUAACGGCCCACCUAGUCUUCGAUGGAUAGGGGUUCUGAGAGGAAGGUCCCCCACAUUGGAACUGAGACACGGUCCAAACUCCUACGGGAGGCAGCAGUGAGGAACAUUGGUCAAUGGGCGAGAGCCUGAACCAGCCAAGUAGCGUGAAGGAUGACUGCCCUAUGGGUUGUAAACUUCUUUUAUAAAGGAAUAAAGUCGGGUAUGCAUACCCGUUUGCAUGUACUUUAUGAAUAAGGAUCGGCUAACUCCGUGCCAGCAGCCGCGGUAAUACGGAGGAUCCGAGCGUUAUCCGGAUUUAUUGGGUUUAAAGGGAGCGUAGAUGGAUGUUUAAGUCAGUUGUGAAAGUUUGCGGCUCAACCGUAAAAUUGCAGUUGAUACUGGAUAUCUUGAGUGCAGUUGAGGCAGGCGGAAUUCGUGGUGUAGCGGUGAAAUGCUUAGAUAUCACGAAGAACUCCGAUUGCGAAGGCAGCCUGCUAAGCUGCAACUGACAUUGAGGCUCGAAAGUGUGGGUAUCAAACAGGAUUAGAUACCCUGGUAGUCCACACGGUAAACGAUGAAUACUCGCUGUUUGCGAUAUACAGCAAGCGGCCAAGCGAAAGCGUUAAGUAUUCCACCUGGGGAGUACGCCGGCAACGGUGAAACUCAAAGGAAUUGACGGGGGGCCCGCACAAGCGGAGGAACAUGUGGUUUAAUUCGAUGAUACGCGAGGAACCUUACCCGGGCUUAAAUUGCAGAUGAAUUACGGUGAAAGCCGUAAGCCGCAAGGCAUCUGUGAAGGUGCUGCAUGGUUGUCGUCAGCUCGUGCCGUGAGGUGUCGGCUUAAGUGCCAUAACGAGCGCAACCCUUGUUGUCAGUUACUAACAGGUUCCGCUGAGGACUCUGACAAGACUGCCAUCGUAAGAUGUGAGGAAGGUGGGGAUGACGUCAAAUCAGCACGGCCCUUACGUCCGGGGCUACACACGUGUUACAAUGGGGGGUACAGAGGGCCGCUACCACGCGAGUGGAUGCCAAUCCCAAAAACCUCUCUCAGUUCGGACUGGAGUCUGCAACCCGACUCCACGAAGCUGGAUUCGCUAGUAAUCGCGCAUCAGCCACGGCGCGGUGAAUACGUUCCCGGGCCUUGUACACACCGCCCGUCAAGCCAUGGGAGCCGGGGGUACCUGAAGUGCGUAACCGCGAGGAGCGCCCUAGGGUAAAACUGGUGACUGGGGCUA
Molecule: ribosomal RNA, 1442 nt
Filed under: uncultured organism
Description: SSU rRNA
Rfam family: Bacterial small subunit ribosomal RNA
Source: RNAcentral